UACGUAGGGUGCGAGCGUUAAUCGGAAUUACUGGGCGUAAAGGGUGUGCAGGCGGUUUUGCAAGAUGGAUGUGAAAGCCCCGGGCUUAACCUGGGAAAGCCAUACAUGACUGCAAGACUAGAGUGCGUCAGAGGGGGGUGGAAUUCCAAGUGUAGCAGUGAAAUGCGUAGAUAUUUGGAAGAACACCGAUGGCGAAGGCAGCCCCCUGGGACGUAACUGACGCUCAUACACGAAAGCGUGGGGAGCAAACAGG
This 253-nucleotide ribosomal RNA is filed under the name Turicimonas muris. Its description in RNAcentral is "partial 16S ribosomal RNA". It matches the Rfam family "Bacterial small subunit ribosomal RNA", at positions 524 to 776 of the family's 1533-position model. The record is from RNAcentral. Lineage: Bacteria; Pseudomonadati; Pseudomonadota; Betaproteobacteria; Burkholderiales; Sutterellaceae.